CAAUAGCGUAUAUUAAAGUUGUUGCGGUAAAAAAGCUCGUAGUUGGAUUUCUACCGAAGAUAGCCGGUCGGGUCUUCGACCUUGUAUCUGGUUUUGUCUUUGGUAUCCUCAUAGGGAACGUUUCUGCGCUUUAUUGCGUGGUGCGGUAUCUAUGACUUUUACUUUGAGGAAAUUAGAGUGUUCACGGCAGACAAACGCCUUGAAUAUAUUAGCAUGGAAUAAUAACAUAGGAUCUUCGUCCUAUUUUGUUGGUUUCUAGGGCUAAGAUAAUGAUUAAUAGGGAUAAUUGGGGGCAUCUGUAUCAACGCGUCAGAGGUGGAAUUCUUGGAUUGCGUUGCGACAAACUACUGCGAAAGCAUUUGCCAAGGAUGUUUUCAUUGA
This 381-nucleotide ribosomal RNA is filed under the name uncultured eukaryote. Its description in RNAcentral is "partial 18S ribosomal RNA". It matches the Rfam family "Eukaryotic small subunit ribosomal RNA", at positions 592 to 976 of the family's 1831-position model. The record is from RNAcentral.